UACGUAGGGUGCGAGCGUUAAUCGGAAUUACUGGGCGUAAAGCGUGCGCAGGCGGUUCGUGAUGUCUGAUGUGAAAGCCCCGGGCUCAACCUGGGAACUGCAUUGGAAACUAGCGGGCUGGAGUGUGGCAGAGGGGGGUGGAAUUCCACGUGUAGCAGUGAAAUGCGUAGAUAUCAGGAAGAACACCCGUGGCGAAGGCGGUUCUCUGGGACGGUACUGACGCUGAGACGCGAAAGCGUGGGGAGCGAACAGG
Molecule: ribosomal RNA, 253 nt
Filed under: uncultured bacterium
Lineage: Bacteria
Description: partial 16S ribosomal RNA
Rfam family: Bacterial small subunit ribosomal RNA
Source: RNAcentral